UUAGGUCCUUAUACUUUGCCAAAUUCUUGUUGGGUCCAGCGUCUAUGUGCAAAAACCCUAGCCCUAACUGUAAGACCUUCUCCUUCUCCCUUACUUCACCUGAAGCAUUUGCCUCUAGUUGCUAUCUAUCCAAUCAUCUCGGGUUUUCUUGUUUUUUUAAAGUUUGAUUGAAAUGGCAAGUCAAAGAACCACACAGCUCAUAACCAGUCUUACAAGGCUCACAAGAACGGGAUCAAGAAACCAAGAAGGCACAGAUGAAUCCCAAGUUCGUGAGGAAUCUAAGAGAUAUGCAAGGAAGCAUAACAAGAAGAGUGGUGAAUCUACAACGGAGGAAGAGUAAAUCUUGGAACCGUGUUUGGUAAUUGAUUUUUUAAUAGUCUUGGUUUAGUCUGAUUUUAAAUCUCAAUUGGAAAUUGAUUCUUAUCGGUGAUUCUUAAAGUAAUAAUGGUUAUUGCUCGGAAGUUAGUUAUUAUAUUAAUAGUGACAAUUGGAUGUUUACUUGGCCAAAUAUAUGUCUUUGAUUUCUAGUUUGUGAGGUUAAUUUCUUGUAGCAAAUUGUUUCAGGUUCCUCUUUCACCUAGGAAAGAAUGUGGAGUAGAAAGCAUACACCUUGAUCGUGAUUCAUGAAAAUAGUUUUAGCUCAAGGCGUAGUUUUGUCACUGAAAUGUAUAGCACACUACACCCUUCGCAAAUCUCUCAGUGGAAUGUCUUGUUCCUAUAGAAGUUGAUAUCAGUUAUUACAAUUGUAAUUCUUGGUCCAGCGAUACCUUUAGUUGUCUAAAUUUUUCAGGCUGUCUUGCUGGGUAGUCAACUAGUAUAUGCACUUUUAAUGUGGAUAAAAUGUGGUUGUUGUCGAUUCCUUUUCUUUCUGGGAUUUGAUAACUGAAAUUUAUCUAGCAAUACGAAUUGUUUAAAUGCUUGAUUUGGAAAGGGUUUCAUCUGGUAACUGUAGCAAGUAGUUCCUCUGGAAUAUAUUAUGUUCUGUCCAAAAGUUUUGAUGUGGUCUUAUUUGUUGUGAAAGCUUUAGGGAAGCAACUGUGAUUGAGAUGGAAAACUUUUGAGUUCCACUAUUCCUUUUUGUAGUGUAGCUAGGAGAAAAAUCUUGAGCCAUUGGCGUUGAAAAGUUGGUGGCCCUGUUUCUUUGAAUUGAUAAAGGUCCAUUUUAAUCAUACUCAACUUUUUGGUUGUUUGCUUGGCAGUUUGAACCUAAAGGAUGCGUACCGUUUUAGGUUUGCUCAUCUUCUGAUUAGCUUGUUUCUUAUUAGCCUUUGUUAGUUUCAGUCUUAGUGUCUUGCAAGAAGCAGUUCAAUGGAAUUUAACUGUUUACCACCUCUUCUGUUUUAUUUUUGUACUCAAUAGGCAUCAAUGAGUAUGAAAAAAAUAAAUAAGUUUAUCUCUUCGUUUCAAUUUUAUUUUUUUUAUUAUUUAUUGUUAUGCAAAGCAAAUUAUGCUUGGGGUUGUAGAAAUAGUUUUUAUUUAUAAUUUUUGAAUAUUAAUGCAAAG
RNAcentral lists this unclassified non-coding RNA (1503 nucleotides) under Hevea brasiliensis (rubber tree). The record is from RNAcentral. Lineage: Eukaryota; Viridiplantae; Streptophyta; Magnoliopsida; Malpighiales; Euphorbiaceae.